UACGUAGGGAGCAAGCGUUGUCCGGAAUCAUUGGGCGUAAAGCGCGCGUAGGUGGCCUCAUAAGUCCGCUGUGAAAGUCAAAGGCUCAACCUUUGAAAGCCGGUGGAUACUGUGGGGCUAGAGUACGGAAGAGGCGAGUGGAAUUCCUGGUGUAGCGGUGGAAUGCGCAGAUAUCAGGAGGAACACCAAUAGCGAAGGCAGCUCGCUGGGACGGUACUGACGCUAAGGCGCGAAAGCGUGGGGAGCGAACAGG
RNAcentral lists this ribosomal RNA (253 nucleotides) under uncultured bacterium. RNAcentral describes it as "partial 16S ribosomal RNA". It matches the Rfam family "Bacterial small subunit ribosomal RNA", at positions 524 to 776 of the family's 1533-position model. The record is from RNAcentral.